AUGACAGAUGAUAUGUUGAUUCAUUUGGAUUGUAAUUUUUUUUUUUUUUUUUUUUGCAGGAAGAACACAGUUCCCCUCUGUGGCUUUAUUGUUUACAAAACACACAACAGGCCUGCCCUGGGGCCUCCAGAGCCAGGCUGCGUGGUGGUCACAGGACCUGCAGGGGACGCUGGGUCCUGGGGCCACGGCGCUUCCGCUCCCGCGCUGGCGGCUGCCCUGGGGUCUCGGUGGAAGAGGCGUGCAUGGAGCGGCCCAGCAGCAGCCAGGCCACGGCGUGGAGAUGGCGCGGAGACGGCCUUCCCAGCUCAGGCAGCGCCUGACCUCUGCCCCAGACCCCGCGGGGGGACGGCAAGCCGCAGUCUGGGCCAAGAGUGUCCAGAGGAGGGGCCCGGGCCCCACAGCAGCCAGGGUCGAGCCCGCGGAGUCCGGAAUGAAAGCCUCAGGCGUCCGUCCGAGUGGAGCGAGGCGCACGUGCCAGCGCUGCGAAGGACGCCCUUUCACCUUCGUGUCCGACGGCCCGGGCUUGGAACGGCCACACGGAAACGUGAGCGCUCACGUGGCUCCCGUGGCUGGGCUGUGCCCCCUCGGAGGGGCCGGCAGCCACGGGGCUCUCCUGGCUGGGGCCCUGUGAGGCUUGGGAGGGGCCCGGGCCGGCUCCCGCAGCCGUGUGGGCAUGCCCUCCACGCAGAGCCAGGCCCUCCCACACCUGGCCCACCUCCCACUCUUUGCUCUUCCUGGUCGGGCACCACACGCACACUGCGCGGGGGCUCCUGCGGGAAAAGAGAGGUCAGCCAGAGCCCCAGAAUCCCGAUGCCUGCCAUGACCGAUGUCCACCAGCAGGGGCAGCGCAGAGCCGCCCUCAGGCCCCGUCCCCAGCUCGGGGCUGCUUCUCUGGGUUUGGCGACGCUCACGCAGGCCCAACCUCGGAGCCCUGGGAGGGGAACAAACCCAACGCAGCCGGCGAGCCCUCAGGCGUUUACCAGAUCCGAGUCGGACGCAGCCGGUGCCGGCCCGGCCCUGCCUGCCCCGGGCCUUUCCCUUAGAUGA
RNAcentral lists this long non-coding RNA (1047 nucleotides) under Oryctolagus cuniculus (rabbit). RNAcentral's name for it is "lncRNA (ENSOCUG00000034559.1)". Lineage: Eukaryota; Metazoa; Chordata; Mammalia; Lagomorpha; Leporidae. The record is from RNAcentral.